Molecule: non-coding RNA, 122 nt
Filed under: Crypthecodinium cohnii
Lineage: Eukaryota; Dinophyceae; Gonyaulacales; Crypthecodiniaceae
Source: RNAcentral
GCGCUCUUGCCGAGUCGUUCAGUUGUUGGAUGAGUGAGGAGUGAGUUGAAUGGCACUGUUUUUUGAUUCGUUUGACUGUUUGCUGCUGCUACGAGCUACUAGCUACCAGCUACUCUUCGCCG